Molecule: non-coding RNA, 4977 nt
Organism: Podarcis lilfordi (Lilford's wall lizard)
Lineage: Eukaryota; Metazoa; Chordata; Lepidosauria; Squamata; Lacertidae
Source: the annotation of a GenBank genome assembly
UAAAGAACAAAUACAUGUUCUUGUUUCAAGAUAGAUAUCUGUCUUAGGAUGUACUUCCAACAGUAUUUUCAAACACAAGGGCUUCCAGUUGGGGCAUUAUGCCCUAUUCCCCCUCCUGGCCUUCUACGUGCCUUUUAUUUUCAUUAGGUAUAAAAUUAGAUUUUAAAUACCAGGGUGGAAGAAAAAGAGAUCUGUCUCUUGUAAUGUGUGUAACCUUUGCCCUUCUUUCCUUCUUGAACCCUGCCUGCUUCAUCCUUGUGUUAUGUCUUGUCAAAUCCAGUUUGUGUAGCUUUCAGAUGGGAUUACAUUCAGUUUACCUCUUCCUUCCUUAUAGAAAUACUUUGAGAAUUGCAAGGAUUUCUUUACAACAAGAUAUAAUUGUCAAUCAAUGAAAUAAAGAUAUAAAAGAUACACAACAACAGAAGAAUAAAUAAGGAAAAUUUCAAACCAAAAGGAUACUUAAGAAAAAGUUUCAAAAACCAUUAUAGUUUUCCACCUAGUCAUAUAAAAUUGAAGAUUAUAUCACUGCUAGAAACUAUGUUUCUACACGACAAGUCUUAAACCUACACUCACGCACAACAUUUUAAGUAUAAAUAAAAUAUCUUCCAGUUAAUAUGACUGUUAAUAUUCUUGCAGCUGUUGCUGUAAGUAGCCGCUUUGUUCUGUAUACUUCAUACAGUAUCACUUACUGUAGAUAAACAUAAGCCACAGCAGCAAAUAUCUUGGAUAAAAGUAUAUUUAGUAUUAACAGUUCAUUCGUCUUGGGAAGCAUGAAAAUCAUAUUGAAUGAAAAUACUCUAUAAUAAAAUUAUGGUGGACAUAAUCCAGUCAAAAAAGCUUUUAAAAUUAUUUAGUGGUACACAAAUGUUUACUGGCUUUGCUUGGAUCAUGUUUGUUAUGUGUGACAUAUAUACAUAUUUCUCUCUAUACAGCAAAUAUUAUAAAGUCUAUAGAAUCCUUAUGAUUCAAUAACCUACAUGGAUGUCACUUCAGUAUUGGAAAUUAACAUACAAGCUGGAACUAUUUUGUUGCAUAUACAGGUAGUAGAAAGCAGCAGCCGGCUGUAGCUUCCCUAUGUUUGCAGACUCAGCAAGUAAGCAUUUAUACUCAUCACAUCUGAAAGAGUUCCUAGAGUCUGGACUCAGAAGUGAAGAAAGAUAUAGCAUUCUUUCCAUCAGAGACAUCCAAGCACAAGACAUGCUAAAUGACAAGAAAGCUAACAAUGGCACUCUCUUCAGUUCUUUCUUACAUGAAUGACUGGCCUAUGAAAAUAAGUUCUAUCAUCCAUCUGAUAGUCAUAAGGGAAGGGGACAUGGCUGCAUUACUGAGCAGAGCAGAAGUCUGGCAACCUGGGUGGGGAUAUUUCUGAGAUGUCAACACCUUGCAUAAUCCUCAUGGCUUUAAUUCUGUGUAAUGGAGUUGGGAUAGAUUUUGAACGUUUCACAUGCUUCCGUAGAAGUUUAGUGUGAAGCUCAGAAUCUGCUUUCAGUAAAGCUGUGGCUUAAGAAUUGUAAUGUUAAUGUAAACUCUUUUGGAGCAGUUGUUAAGGAGCCAUUAGAAGUACUGUUUAGGCUUUUCAUGACUAAUCUCCUAAAUGCUGCUGAAGAUUAUGUAUCCUCCUUAGUAAAUGAUAUAUAUAUGACACAAAACUUUUAAGAAACAACUGUCAGAUUAGUUGGCUUUAGUAUGCUAUCAAGCCCUUGAGGGGAAAAGGCUGCAAAGGCUCUACAAAGCUAUAAACUACACAGUAUACUGAGGGUUGCUUUUUCUGUCUCUUUAAAGAGCUUCAGAUCCCUAACAGAGCCCCAAUGUGCAGGUAUUUUCUCUCAAUCAGUGCUUCUUACCACAGCAAGGGAGGAAGUUGUGAAUAUGAAACAGCAGCUUAGUUUUCAAAGAAGAGUUCAAUCUCUAUAUCUGUUAAUUAUGCACCUCUGUUUUAUGUAGUGUGCCAUCUGCUGACUGAAAAGAUAAUAGUUUAGUUUCCUACUGCCUCUACUACUGCUGUCAUUAAUUAGAAGCAUGUAAAGAUAUUCUGGGACAAGAAGCUACACUUAGAACUGGAUAUGGAACAACUGAUUGGUUCAAAAUUGGGAAAGGAGUACGGCAAGGCUGUAUAUUGUCUCCCUGCUUAUUCAACUUAUAUGCAGAAUUCAUCAUGCGAAAGGCUGGGCUGGAAGAUCACUGGAAGAAAUAUCAACAACCUCAGAUAUGCAGAUGACACAACCUUGAUGGCAGAAAGUGAGGAAGAAUUAAAGAACCUUUUAAUGAGGGUGAAAGAGGAGAGUGCAAAAUAUGGUCUGAAGCUCAACAUCAAAAAAACGAAGAUCAUGGCCACUGGUCCCAUCACCUCCUGGCAAAUAGAAGGGGAAGAAAUGGAGGCAGUGAGAGAUUUUACUUUCUUGGGCUCCCUGAUCACUGCAGAUGGUGACAGCAGUCACGAAAUUAAAAGACGCCUUCUCCUUGGGAGAAAGGCGAUGGCAAACCUAGACAGCAUCUUAAAAAGCAGAGACAUCACCUUGCCAACAAAGGUCCGUAUAGUUAAAGCCAUGGUUUUCCCAGUAGUGAUGUAUGGAAGUGAGAGCUGGACCAUAAAGAAGGCUGAUCGCCGAAGAAUUGAUGCUUUUGAAUUAUGGUGCUGGAGGAGACUCCUGAGAGUCCCAUGGACUUCAAGAAGAUCAAACGCAUCCAUUCUUAAGGAAAUUAGCCCUGGGUGCUCACUGGAAGGACAGAUCGUGAAGCUGAGGCUCCAAUACUUUGGCCACCUCAUGAGAAGAGAAGACUCCUGGAAAAGACCCUGAUGUUGGGAAAGAUGGAGGGCACAAGGAGAAGGGGACGACAGAGGACGAGAUGGUUAGACAGUGUUCUCGAAGCUACAAACAUGAGUCUGACCAGACUGCGGGAGGCAGUGGAAGACAGGAGUGCCUGGCGUGCUCUGGUCCAUGGGGUCACGAAGAGUCGGACACGACUAAACGACUAAACAACAACAAAAGAUAUUCUGAGUACUGUUCCCCUGCCAAACUGACCCACAAUCUUACCUCGCUCUUUCUACUUUAAACUAUGAAUUAUAUUUAUAUAAUUCAAACAAGGAUUAACUACAUCUUUUUAUCUAUCUUUUUUUAAAAGCUGGUUUGGAAUAAGCCAGUAAUCAGCUUCAGCUUUGGGGCUUAUACAUAAUGGCCACUGAAUGUUCAAAAUUCAGUCGAGAAAGUCACAUUCCUUGAAACAGGUUGAGUAUUAUGCAUAUUGACAAGAAAAUGUAGUUGAGAUAUUUAUUUUUCUUAUUUGGAGAACAUGCAUAAGAAAAAAUGAUAUUUAUUUUUCACUAAUAUAUGUAUUUGUAUGCACACUUAUCCAUUUUGUAUACUUUUUUAUUGAAAUGCACUGCAAAAAUUUUAGAGAAGGUUUUGAAGAUAGUUACAUUUCAGUUCACACACUGUAUUGUUAUAGGAAGUGCUAUUUAGGUAUGUUCACAUUAAAAUGUGAACUGAACCAAAUUUCUUCCCCAUUCCUACUGGAGUUAAGUCUCAUUGACUUUAAUUUCUUAGAAUCAUAGCAUUAUAGAGUGGGAAGGGGUCCCAAGGAUCAUCUAGUCCAACCCUUUGAAAUGAAGACAUCUCAACUAAAGCAUCCAUAACUGAUGGCCAUCCAACCUCUGCUUAAGACCCCCCAAGGAAGAAGAGUCCACCACCUCCUGAGGGAGCUCCACUGUCAAACAGCUCUUCCUGAUGUUUAGCCGGAAUCUCCUUUCUUGUAACUGCUUUGUCCUAGUCAUGUAAUGAUUCCUCUCCCACACUGAUGGACCUGUUCAAAUAAAACAUCCCUCCCCCAGAUUCUAUCCAAAUUAAGGGAGGAUUGAGAGUGGAUCUUGGGUUUGCAGGUUUUUCUUUCCUGCUCCUCCCUUUCCCACACUUCAUCCGCCCAGGAAGAAGUUGCCAGGGAAAUGGGUGGAUCUUGCAAGUGGGAACUUUCAUUCACAGCACACCCUGUCCAGUUAGUAUUCCAACUCUAUUCCAACUCAUUAGAAUUCUAUGAUUUUGUGACUGAAACUCUGGGGAACUCUGUGAGUCAGUGAAAACAAUACUAAGCUAUAUGGACUAAUAGUCUUACUCUGUAUGAGGCAGCUUUUUAUCUUCCAAAAACUAUGGUGCCAGAGGAGGCUUUAAAUUGAGAACAGAACCAACAUGUGGACAGAAUGUAGUUCUUGAGCAAGGAAAUUCAGAAGUGAGAGCUAUUGUUCACCUCCAGGUGGUGCAUUGUUUUGCACUUUUCCUGUCAUUGUUUAUACACACAAACACACACUGAUUGAUUGUAAUAAAACCUCUAAAUGGUUUACUAAAAAUAUUAAAAUUAUCAGCAGUAAAAACAGUUAGUUGUGCUCUUUAGCUUACACAAACCAAGUAAGGUAAUAAAUAAACAUAACAGACCAAGAAAGGACCAGUUAUGUAUGUAUAGCCCCACAAACUCAGACAUCAAAUCAUUGACUGGAAAUAAAGGGACAGUUAAGUCCAGUCGCGAACGACUCUGGGGUUGCAGUGCUCAUCUCGGUUUACAGGCCGAGGAAGCCGGCAUUUGUCCGCUCCGCAGACAGUUUUACCGGGUCAUGUGGCCAGCAUGACUAAUCCGCUUCUGGUGCAAUGGAACACCGACAUCAGAGCAGUGCACAGAAAUGCUGUUUACCUGGAAAUCCUGACCAUCAUUUCACUGUACCAUAUUUAUUCUUACCAAGCUAAGGCAAACCUUAAAAAUAUUAUAGUUCUUCUGAAUAAUUAUUGCACAAAUAAAGUAGUGGAAUCUGAAAUCCAGUUUUAUUAAUGAAAUCAAAUAAGUUAUUUCACGGGGUUUUUUCCUAGUCUGCGUCUGCACUGGAUUUAAAGUAGUUUUAAUUGCUUUUAUAAAAAUGAAAUCUACUUACAUGCAUUUUACUGUUGCUAUUUUAUUGUUAAGUUGCUUUAAGAUUGUUCAUAGGAAGUGAUUCAC